AAUGAAUUGCCUGAAAAAGGGCUACCUUGAUAGGGUAGAUCAUAUAAUCUACUAUUAUAUUCAUUA
RNAcentral lists this transfer RNA (66 nucleotides) under Cephalopina titillator. Its description in RNAcentral is "tRNA-Ile". The record is from RNAcentral. Lineage: Eukaryota; Metazoa; Arthropoda; Insecta; Diptera; Oestridae.